UCUCCAUUCUCCUUGUGGUACAGUUACAGACCCACAUGCUUUUAUGUGGGUGCUGGGCCUCUGGACUCAGUUCCUCAUGCUAGAGCAGCAAGUGGCUUGACCCACAAUUGAGCCAUCUCCCCAAGCCCCAGGUAUAAGGUUCUUGGUCUGUGGUCAGUUAACCCAAAAGGCUAAAGCUAACUCAGAGCACCCAGAGGAGUGUAAAACACUCUUCAGGAAAGCAGCAAGAACAAAACGGCACAGCUGAGAUGGCUUAAACAAUGGAAAUGGAUUUUCUCAUAAUUCUGGUAGCUAGGAGAACCAACAUCAAUGUGUUAGCCAUGCUGGUUUCCCCUAGGCCUUUCUCCUUGGCUUGCAGACUGCCACCUUCUCAGUGUGCCCUCAAAUAGUCUUUCCUGGGUGCAUGCCUUCCUGGAGUGUGGGGGACAAAAAUUUCCUCUUCUACAAAGGACAUCAAUUAUAUGAGGUCAGGGCCUCAUUUGUGCUCCCAUUUCAUGUUGUCACUUCUCUUUCCAAACCCGGCUACAUUCUGAGCAACCACAGCUGAGAACUUGGACAUAUGGAUUCAGCCCAGGGCGACUAGAGUUGCCCAAUCCUUCCAGGACAGACACCUUGGGAGGGCUGAGGCCUCUUUUCAAGGUAAGGUCACUUGUUUUAGAGCCGACUGUCACUGAAAACAAACAAACAAACCCAGUCUUGUUCCAGGUGGCACACAGGUCUGAGUCAGACUUACCAGGGAAAGAAAGCUACUGUGUGCCCGUUUUCACUGAAGCCUCUUCAGAGCAAGGCUUUGGAGUGCAUUUGUGGGGCUGGUCGUGCCAGCAGUGGCCUUGAUAUGAGGCAAGACUCUACCUUGCUCCACAAACAAAGAUAAAGCCAAGUGGGAAGCAUGUGGAUGAAGAACGGAUGGUUCCUUCCUCCAUCAGCAUGCUCACAGAAACCAGGAAAUGGAGAAGAAAUUCUGCAGUGAGGUGGCUGUUUGGAGCCUGAGAGAGCUUGCUGGACAAUACAGUCAAGAAUAACAGACAAGCGACCCAUUGUUCUUCCAAUUUUACUUUUCGUGCAAGUAGCAAAUAGCUCUUAAGUCACAGAACCUCUUGUGCGAAGCUCCGUGGGACUCUAAUUUUUAGAGACUUGGAAGUAGCAAAAGGUGUGUGCUGUCAUGCUACACAGAGAAGGUAUCUGGUUGCAAAACCCGAACUCCUACUCCUGUCUCUUGGUGAGCGUUUAAGGCAGAACACACUGACCCGCCUCAGCAGAUAACAUCGGCAUUCAGAGAAAUACCAGGAGUCCAGCAAUCACUGCACACGGCAGCUACUUUUUGGCAGAUUCGGAGCCCAUCUAGAGUACGGGUGGCAAGUGAUGGCACCACCAAUGAGGCGGACACCGGCUGUCUCAUCUCUCAAGAAGACGUGUUGAAUGAUCGGAUCGUGGAUCAUCUAAAUUAUGCCCCGUGCAGUCUAACACAUAAUAGAACCUAGAAGGGAUUUGCCACACCAGGAGUUAAUUAGACUUCUGGUUCCCAAGGUGCCGUGGAACGUCUCUUGACUUUGUGCUCAUUAAGUUUUACUGUAAUGAGGGGUUGGAUGCCUUUACUUCUCAUUAGAAUAUACCGUGAGAAGUUAAGUUGCCUGAUCAUUGUUGUAUUCCCAUUGCUACAAUAUACCUGGAUCAAAUAAUAUUAAGAGCCCAAUAAAUACUUUAUGAAUAAAUAAGUUAAUAGUUGCUCAUAUUUUACAUUCAAGU
Meriones unguiculatus (Mongolian gerbil) is the source of this 1746-nucleotide long non-coding RNA. RefSeq lists it as uncharacterized. Lineage: Eukaryota; Metazoa; Chordata; Mammalia; Rodentia; Muridae. The record is from RefSeq and is a predicted model, not a curated record. The transcript is spliced from 4 exons.